This 534-nucleotide ribosomal RNA is filed under the name uncultured Glomeraceae. RNAcentral describes it as "SSU rRNA". It matches the Rfam family "Eukaryotic small subunit ribosomal RNA", at positions 548 to 1084 of the family's 1831-position model. The record is from RNAcentral. Lineage: Eukaryota; Fungi; Glomeromycota; Glomeromycetes; Glomerales; Glomeraceae.
UUGGAGGGCAAGUCUGGUGCCAGCAGCCGCGGUAAUUCCAGCUCCAAUAGCGUAUAUUAAAGUUGCUGCAGUUAAAAAGCUCGUAGUUGAAUUUCGGGACCAUCAUGUCGGUCGUGCCUCGGUACGUACUGGUAUUGUUGGUUUCUCCCUUCUGACGAACCAUGAUGUCAUUUAUUUGGUGUUGUGGGGAAUCAGGACUGUUACUUUGAAAAAAUUAGAGUGUUUAAAGCAGGCUCACGCUUGAAUACAUUAGCAUGGAAUAAUGAAAUAGGACGUUUGAUUCUAUUUUGUUGGUUUCUAGGAUCGACGUAAUGAUUAAUAGGGAUAGUUGGGGGCAUUAGUAUUCAAUUGUCAGAGGUGAAAUUCUUGGAUUUAUUGAAGACUAACUACUGCGAAAGCAUUUGCCAAGGAUGUUUUCAUUAAUCAAGAACGAAAGUUAGGGGAUCGAAGACGAUCAGAUACCGUCGUAGUCUUAACCAUAAACUAUGCCGACUAGGGAUCGGAUGAUGUUAAUUUUUUAAUGACUCAUUCGGC